AACGAACGCUGGCGGCAGGCUUAACACAUGCAAGUCGAGCGCCCCGCAAGGGGAGCGGCAGCCGGGUGAGUAACGCGUGGAAACGUACCUUUUGGUUCGGAACAACUCCGGGAAACUGGAGCUAAUACCGGAUAAGCCCUAACGGGGAAAGAUUUAUCGCCGAAAGAUCGGCCCGCGUCUGAUUAGCUAGUUGGUGAGGUAACGGCUCACCAAGGCGACGAUCAGUAGCUGGUCUGAGAGGAUGAUCAGCCACACUGGGACUGAGACACGGCCCAGACUCCUACGGGAGGCAGCAGUGGGGAAUAUUGGACAAUGGGCGCAAGCCUGAUCCAGCCAUGCCGCGUGAGUGAUGAAGGCCUUAGGGUUGUAAAGCUCUUUUGUCCGGGAAGAUAAUGACUGGACCGGAAGAAUAAGCCCCGGCUAACUUCG
This 429-nucleotide ribosomal RNA is filed under the name uncultured bacterium. RNAcentral's name for it is "partial 16S ribosomal RNA". It matches the Rfam family "Bacterial small subunit ribosomal RNA", at positions 29 to 505 of the family's 1533-position model. The record is from RNAcentral.